Molecule: ribosomal RNA, 313 nt
Filed under: uncultured Methanomicrobiales archaeon
Lineage: Archaea; Methanobacteriati; Methanobacteriota; Methanomicrobia; Methanomicrobiales
Description: bacterial SSU rRNA
Rfam family: Archaeal small subunit ribosomal RNA
Source: RNAcentral
GUUAAGUCAGGCAACGAGCGAGACCCACGCCAACAGUUGCCAGCUCGUCCUCCGGGAUGGUGGGGACACUGUUGGGACCGCCUCUGCUAAAGGAGGAGGAAGGAAUGGGGCAACGGUAGGUCAGCAUGCCCCGAAUUAUCUGGGCUACACGCGGGCUACAAUGGGUGGGACAAUGGGUAUCGACACCGAAAGGUGAAGGCAAUCUCCUAAACCCAUCCGUAGUUCGGAUUGUGGGCUGCAACUCGCCCACAUGAAGCUGGAAUCUGUAGUAAUCGUGUCUCAAAAUGGCACGGUGAAUAUGUCCCUGCUCCUU